Helicoverpa zea (corn earworm) is the source of this 1273-nucleotide long non-coding RNA. RefSeq lists it as uncharacterized. The transcript is spliced from 2 exons. NCBI's taxonomy places the organism in Eukaryota, Metazoa, Arthropoda, Insecta, Lepidoptera, Noctuidae. The record is from RefSeq and is a predicted model, not a curated record.
UAAGAUGUUUCGGCCAAUGGAAUCGGUUCAUUUAUCUGAUUGGCCGAAAAAAGUAAAGUCGGGACCGCCCUUAUCCCCGCUUUUGCGGCGGUUAUAAAAGAAACAUUGCUUUUCGUACCUUUAUUAAUCUCGGAGUCGGAGUCGGGAGUCGGGCGUCGGGCGCCUCUGUGUCGCGGGCGGAUUUCUCUUUGGGAGGCUCGAAAGUUUUCACUAACACGUAUCUAAUAAAACAAAUUUUUCCAAUGUUUAUCGUCGCGGCGGACGCGUACAGCGAUCGGAUUAGGAUAAUACAUGAACUUGACGAGGUCGUGGCGCCUGUGCGAACGCGAAUAGUGCAUAAUAGGAACCGGGGCGGUUGUUUAUUUCGGCGGCUGGUUACCGAGGCACCAGUGGGUCCAGUUCAAAAUGUUAUUUUCUCUAUAAAAGUGAUAGCGAGUGACGAUCGAGGUCGACCCGCCAACAAGGAGGAUAUCGAACUUGUGUGGUAACAGGACCCCGUCGAUAUUCGCCAGUUACGCGAACGCAUUAUCGACCUAAAAGUGAAGCGUCGUAAAACACGGCGAGCUCCGCGUCCGCUAAGGACGGUCUCGAGGCUCCGCGUCCAGGACGUGCAACCAAUCGGUAAUAUAUUUUGCUUUGUUCUUCUUGUUUAUUAUCGAAAGAGAAAAGUGCCCUUCGACAGGUCAGGACGGGUAGCAGCCUGCGCUGCACCGUCCUCCCGCAGGCACCGCACAGAGUACCUACCUAACGCCGCGCAUUCGAAGACACGGCGACGACGGCGAACUCCCAACUUGGUCCGUGAGUCCGUCGGUUCGUCGUUCUUGUUGUUAUUUAUUGAUUUUCUAUUUAUUACCUGCAUCGGUAGUACAUAAAUAAAUCGAAAACAUCGAGACUACACCUAGCGGCAGCAGCUGUGGCGGCGGCGGCAGAGGCGGCAGCGGCGACGGCAACGGCAGCAGUGCAGCCAGCCAGCCAGCAAACAAGCAAGCAAGCAAGCAAGCAAGCAAGCAGCGACGACUACGGACGGGAUUGAUUGCGGUGCGGCGCCGCGGCGGGCACGAGUGAAUUUAGAAAACAACAACAAUAGCAAUAGCAUAGGAAUUAGGAGGUACAAACAUUGUAUAAUAUAGUAGUUCGAAUAUAUUACUAGAAUACGUAUGUACCUACCUAUGUUUAAGUUUAUUUACCUACUAUAGGAUAUAACAUUUAUUAUUCUUUUAGUACAAGUACCUAUGUAUUUUAUACUUACACACAUAAUAUACUUACAACGUUA